CCUGGGGGAAGCAGAGACACAGUUACAGAGCAGCUCUGCACAGCUCCAGCAGCACUGCUCCCAGCCCACUCCACAACAAAAGCCAGCCAUUCCAUUUAAUUAAGGUUUGUGGGGACUCAAGGGCUGCACUUGAGGAGACUCUCCUCCACUAGCUCCAGAGAUCAAAAGAUUUGGUGUAACCACAAGGAAUUACUGGAAGAUCUCAGAUGUCUUGCACACUACUAGGAAAAGUUAUUUGUUUUCAAGAAAAUAUUUAAUCUUAGCAACUCAUAUAAAUUUGGUAACAGAAUUCUCAGAUCUAACAAUUUGAUAGUUCCAAGGAAAGUAUUUGUUCAAAAAAUAGGGGCCAAUUUAUCACUAUCAUAGGCAAGACAAGAUGACAGAACUUGGAACUGAAGUUUAUUGAAAUUUUUACAUACGGCAAUUGGUUGAUCUGUCAGACUGGAAGAUAUAUUCUUACCAUUGGUUCCUCCAACCUAAUAACAGUAGGAGAUAAAGUUACUCCUCAAAUGGAUUUAAGGGAAAAUGUUUUCAGUCAGCAAUUUCUGCUCCCAGAUAUUCUGAAGGAGGAUUUUCUUCUUAAGAGAGACGCUGCCCUGUAAUUCAGCACAACCAACUGCACCCAGAGCAGACACCAGCCUUCCCCAGCAACCAGUUCUGUACUGUCAGGGGAAACCUGCAAGAUCAAACUUCUCCUGAAAAGCACCCAACUAACAAUUUCUCUUUGGUUUGGUCUCCAGGGGAAACAGACAUGACCAAACCAACCAAACACCUUUUCUGUACCAACUUUUUCCUUCCCCAAAUAUUUGGAAAUAGUAGUAGAUUUCAAAUGUGUUAAGGAGAAGAUAUCAAACCCCUGUAUAUGCUGAGUUUUAAAUGGCACAGUGAAGGAAAAGGGACGCUGAAUACAGAUCCUAAAAAAAGGUCAGGUUUCAUCAGCAUCACUGUUCUCUUCCUCUGUGCUUUUUGUUAGUUUUGUGGGAUGAAUCUUUGAUACUGCACAAGUCUGAAAUCUGAAGACUUCCCAAGAACUUCAAGACUUACCACCCUGUUUCACUUUCUUCUGCAAAAAAACAAUUCAAAUAACUGGAAGUACUCCAAACCUGUACUGAACAGUUAUACAUCCUUGCACAGACAACGCUUUUUCCCUAAGAUACUUAGACAUGGAAUUCUUUUGCAGUCUACCAGAAAGCCACGGUUACUUCAGCAGGCUAAAGACAUGUAUGUGCAUUUUGUUCUUUUGUAACAGACAUUCUGUCCCUACUAAAUAUCUUUCAUCAUACCUCCUUCUACUUUUUUGAAAAUAGUUUUAUGAUGUUAAGCAAAACUGAAGUUUUAAGUAUCUUACAAAUAUCUAAGUAAGUCUAAGUCUGAGAAAACCAGCUUUCCAUUGUCUCUCCUUCUAAUAAAGACAAGUAUUUCUGACAUUUCAGCUACAGUUGCCCACAACUGGCAAAUUCAUAUCAAUCUUGUGUAUCAUAACUGAUGGGAAAGCCUAAUGACUGUAACUUAGUGAGAAGUGAAUUAAGGAAAAUUGUGAAUUAAGGACAGAUUACUGAAAAUAGCACCAGAGUUCCUUAAAUAAGAUUCACAUUACUCAA
This is a long non-coding RNA of Parus major (Great Tit), 1601 nucleotides long. RefSeq lists it as uncharacterized. NCBI's taxonomy places the organism in Eukaryota, Metazoa, Chordata, Aves, Passeriformes, Paridae. The transcript is spliced from 2 exons. The record is from RefSeq and is a predicted model, not a curated record.